AAGGUAAUAGCUCAGUGGUAGAGCAUAUGCUUAGCACGCACGAGGUCCUGGGUUCAAUCCCCAGUCCCUCUA
This 72-nucleotide transfer RNA is filed under the name Camelus bactrianus (Bactrian camel). It matches the Rfam family "tRNA". Rfam says of the family: Transfer RNA (tRNA) molecules are approximately 80 nucleotides in length. Their secondary structure includes four short double-helical elements and three loops (D, anti-codon, and T loops). RNAcentral also lists the same sequence under 2 other names. The record is from Rfam by way of RNAcentral. Lineage: Eukaryota; Metazoa; Chordata; Mammalia; Artiodactyla; Camelidae.